UCAAAUGAAUUGACGGGGAGCACCACAACGGGUGGAGCUUGCGGUUUUAAUUGGAUUCAACGCCGGAAAUCUUACCGGGACCGACAGCAAUAUGAAGGCCAGGCUGAAGACUUUGCCGGAUUAGCUGAGAGGUGGUGCAUGGCCGUCGUCAGUUCGUACUGUGAAGCAUCCUGUUAAGUCAGGCAACGAGCGAGACCCACGCCCACAGUUGCCAGCGUACUCUCCGGAGUGACGGGUACACUGUGGGGACCGCCGCUGCUAAAGCGGAGGAAGGAAUGGGCAACGGUAGGUCAGUAUGCCCCGAAUCUCCCGGGCUACACGCGGGCUACAAUGGUUGGUACAAUGGGCAUCUACCCCGAAAGGGGAAGGAAAUCUCUUAAAGCCAAUCGUAGUUCGGAUUGAGGGCUGCAACUCGCCCUCAUGAAGCUGGAAUCCGUAGUAAUCGCGUUUCAACAGAACGCGGUGAAUACGUCCCUGCUCCUU
This 483-nucleotide ribosomal RNA is filed under the name uncultured Methanosaeta sp. RNAcentral describes it as "bacterial SSU rRNA". It matches the Rfam family "Archaeal small subunit ribosomal RNA", at positions 856 to 1338 of the family's 1478-position model. The record is from RNAcentral. Lineage: Archaea; Methanobacteriati; Methanobacteriota; Methanomicrobia; Methanotrichales; Methanotrichaceae.